ACCUUGAGGUACUACUAGGCCCACGUGCUCAAACUUGGCCACUGAUCGACCAUUCUCUAAACAGUGAUGCCACUUUCACUGUUCGAUCUAUCAGAAUAACAUCCAAAAUUUUCGGACUACUCGGGUGUUCUCAUAGGCAUCAUGGCUCAACUCUCGCAAUUGACCACACAUAUUGCUCUGAGAGUCGUUUCGCUACUUCUAUCUCUACCGCGAGUCUCACUUCUCGCCAUAGAUUACUUCUAGCACUUCGCUAGUGCCAUCUGGCUCUAUACCUGUACUGGCAGGUACUACGCCCUCAGAUAACACAAAACGCCAUUUCUAGAGCAAUCAAACCUAUCUCUAGAAAUCCACCAUGAGAGAGAGCUUAGAAGCUUACCUCUCCAAGAAGCUCCAACCAAGGAGAAGAUGAAGAAGAUGAGAAAGACCUCCUUCUCCUUCUCCUUCUUUCCUUUCCUUUCUUUUUCCUCUUAUUGUCUUCUAGAGAGAGAAAGAGAGAUAUGAGAGGGUGUGCGGGUGAGAAAUGAGAGAAAAGAGCUCUCAUACUCCUCACAUAGCCCCACGUGUUGCAUAAAUGCAAAUAAGCCCCUCAACUUUCAUCCUUGUGCACAGCCCUCACUGGGCAUUCUGCGCCCAGAGGGACCGGUCUCUCCCUGCCUGGGACCGGUUCCCGAGAGCUUCUCCCGCGGUCUGCGUAGUCUACGCACGAGGCAACCGGUCUCCCCUGAUGGGACCGGUCUGUUGGGGACCGGUCUCUUCCCGCAGGGACCGGUUCCCGAGAGCUGUCCACUAGGGACUUAGCCGAUUUUUCUCUCCUCUUGCUGCCUGCGCGUUCGGGGACCGGUCUUCCCAACCUGGGACCGGUCCACGAGAGCACAAAACCUGCAGUCUUGCAGAUUUUGAUUUCCAAAGCUCUCGAAGAUCCCUAGUAAUGCACUUUUGCAUUAUUUGACGCUUUCGGCCUUUCCGAAGCGUGCCAACCUCGCACUUUGGUCAUUUUGACUAAAGUUCGAUACUUGGUUACCGAAGUUUCGGUAUAUUACAUACCCACUCGACAACUAGCCGAUCCUGGACGAAGCACAACUCUCGGAUUUCGAGAAUUCACUUCCUUACAUGCACAACCUCGACCACGUCCGGCCAAGGUCUCUGCUGAGGCAUUACCCUACCACUCACACGAGAGUGGCCAAUCACUCGCGAAGUCCCAAGUCUCCGCUCGUUUCGGAUUGCUUAGGGACGCCACUCGUCCCAUCCCACGCCGAUCUAGAUUAAGAUCGCCUACGCGGUGCUAUCGCUUCCUAAGACACGACAACUCGGUCGAUUCUCGACCCUCAGGGUCGAGCGCGAAACAACUGACACCGACUCGAAUCGGGCGAAAGUCAUGCAAGGGUGUCUAUUCUCAUCACUCGGUUUCAUGUUGUGUAUACCCAACAUGAACACCCUCGGUUGAGAAUAAACCACACCUCGAGUCUACCUCUAACAUCCGUUUUAGAGGUUUACUAACCUGACCCAAUCGAUCAAUCUUUCGCCAUAAGUCACAAGUCCUCGUCUCUCACGAGCCUUAUUCUCCUAUGGUUUACUAUCCUAGGGUCUCCUAGGUCCGCCUAAACCAUUUCCCAUUCUCUACUUUAUGCUCUGAUACCACUAUUAUCUGUCACGACCCGCGACCACCCGCCUAUUUGGCCGAGGUCGCGGCGCCGCCGACAGACCGCCGAACGGACAGAGUCUCCCCUGUACGUCCUAGGCGUCGCAAUCAAUACAAGUACAAGAAGUUCCAACCAGGAACAGUAUUCAAGCAAGAUUGCAUAAGGAAGGUAUCAAACAACAUAACACAUCCUAUGUUAUUACAAGCAUUCCCAUUAGAUUCAUUUUUACAUCACAUUAGCAUUAUUACAUUACAUUUUCUUCCAAAUACAAUCAAUGAUCGCAAUAUUAUUACAAGUUUGCUCUUUUUCUUUUCCCUCUACCCCUAGGCUAUGCCGACUCGGGGUACCUCUAUCUCUGGUCUCUGGGGUAGGGCGCUAUCUAUGGAGCUACGCCCUCGCCUUGCGCCGCCGCGCCGCUCACGUGCGAACCUGUAACACCCCAAAACAACGUGGGGUGAGAACCAACUCCAUGGUUCCCAGUGGGUACGGCCACCCAAGGGAAAAGCUCGACCAAUAGGUCUAAGGAGGCCCUGCAACAUGUUAGUCCAACAGAUAUCCAACAGAUAUAUAUAUUCAAGUAUUGAAAUACAUGUUGUGCCUCACAAAAUGCAAUAUGAAAUUCAUGCAGUUUAUGCAACCAUGCAACCAACUAGUAGUUCAAUCGAUACUACUUUUAUUCCUGUUAUUCACAGUUCAACCAAUUGACUUCUAAGUUUUCCUCUAUCUUAGAUUCUUGUCAAUUACAAUUCUGCUCAUAGGGUUUAACCUGCUUUUAUAAGCUAUCCACUCGACUCGGUCUUGAGUCAAUCAUACGCGGAAUACCGCACAAAGCCAGGCUCAAGGUGAAGGAUGUCUCACAUGCACCUCAGCCCUAAAUCCACUCAACUGGGAUGCAACUAAAACUCAUACCAUGCAUCAAAUAGUAAAGGUUUACUAUCAUGCUAACAAAUUCGAUCCAUGUUCGAAUAAUAAUGUUCAAUGGCAUUGUUCACUGUUCUUUUACCCAAUCUGUAGCGAAGCCCUAGGGUUCGCCAAUAACUCAUCUUUCAAUCCCAAAGUGGGGAGGGAGCUCCAAGUGCACCCAAGCCCGGGACCGUCUGCGGACCUCCAUGUGGUCCGGACCUCCAAGUGGUCCUAGUCGCACGACACUCCGGAGUACUCGACGACAAUCCCCUCCAUGUGGGGAUUGGAUGGCUAUACCAUCCCAAACGCAGACUGUGAGCUAGAUCUAUCCUCUCCAAGUGAGAAUACCCUACAACUAGGGUCAACAACCCAAUCCAAUCCUCUCCAAGUGAGGAUGCUCUACAACUGGAGUCAACAACCCAAUCAAAUCCUCUCCAAGUGAGGAUGCUCUACAACUAGAGUCAAUGUCCCAAUAACUCAUCGACAACCUCUCCAUGUGAGGGUACUUAGGUUUACUAAGUUCUUUAUACACAAGGCAUUUUCUAAGGGAUUCACCUAUCCCUAGGUUCUCAAACCUCUAGUGUCAAAUACACUACAUUAAUGCCACUCGAUGUGUUCUUGUUUUCCAAUGUCAAUUUCUCUAAUCGACCAAGUUCAACAUGCAUAAUCCAUCCACUAUGUUCCACAAUAUGGCAACAUGUAUAAUUCUUCUAUCAUAUGCAAUAUAUGGCAUCAUGUAUAUGUUUCUAUUUAACAUAAUCCACAAUAUGUUAAUUCACAACAUGUCAUCAUGCACAUUAUAUGAUAUGGCAAUAUACAUUUAAUCAUCAUCCAAAGUAGUAUAUACUUAGCAUCUCAUGCACUCUUUUAGCAUUUAAUUCAUUAUGCAUUACAACUAGCAUGUUCUCUACUUUACGUUAACAUGCAAAUGCCAUUUACCUCAUACACUUAACUAGCAUCAUUUAUAUCACAUCAUCAUGCAUUCUACUUAGCAUUUUGCAUCAUAUUGUCCACAUGCAUUAGCUAUGUCAUUUUAUUAACAUGCAUCAAUAUGAAUUUGUAUGUUUCUUAGACAUAAAGGGCGACCUAGUCGCUUCGGUAAGCACAACCCACCUCAUUUCGCAUUCCGAUUGCUUGUCAACACUUGCAAUCGGCCUCCCGCGGCACCCGGCACUCGGUUUGGCCCGAUCUCUCGCGCGACCACCCGAACGGCCUCCAAUCCACGAUCCGAAAAUUAAAGGUCUUCGGUUAUGUGCCACGAUACUUCAAAUCCAUUUUCAUGAAUUUACGAUAUCGCCUCGGCCCUCCCGGCGGAUCCGAAGCCUAAACGUCCAUUUCUUUAAUAACUUUGUAACGGCUCGUCGGAUUGCCGAACCGUCUUCGCCAACGCGUUCGUUUACCUAGCAAUUAGGUUUACGGAGGGUCAAAUUAGAUCAAACCCUUAUAUUUUACAAAACCCCAUUCGGAGCCCUAAUAUGCAAUUAACCUCAAAAUAAUCCAAAAUUAAAUGGAUCAACAUGCUAACAAAGCUCAUUAGAGGCUAUUAGAACACUUAAAGCUAAGGAUUAAACCAAAUCCCAAAAGCUUACCUCAAUGUGAACGCCGCGACGAAAAUACGCCGCUCCAACGGGCGCACAAAAGCUCGAUCCGUCGCCUCCAACGCGUUCGCAAGCAUCUUCUCCACCAACCCUCAAAUUUUUAGAGAGAGAUUUAGAGAGAUGAGAGAGAUCUCUAGAGAGAGAAGGGAGGGUUUUCCUCCCCCUCCAUGCGCGUGUGUGUGUGUGUGGUGUGUGUGCGGCUGAAGGAGAAGAAGAGGAGUCAACACUCCUCUUUAGUCAACACCACAACACUAUUCACUCUCGGGCAGUUCGAAAUCUGAUAUCUUUCGCCGGAACUCCCUGAACAUCCGUUUGAGCUCAAACUUGACAGUCAUGUUCGGUUUUACUUAACUUAACAAGCUGACGAUCGCUGGUUCAGUUUCGACCCCGUUUGGUCACUGAAAACUGUACCGAACUGCAAUCUUUAUCAGAUAGCUUUCGGAUUUUAUUUCUCACUCUACGGGUGUCAGAAAAAUAUGAAACCUUAAAUCUAGCCUCAUAAAAAUAUUUCGGUCUUAUCACUCCAAUUUUCAUCUAAUUUCUGGAACUUGUGCAUUCCUCUUAUUUAUUCUGUCCCGUUCAAACAGAAAAUUCUAGAUCUCUUUUUCAUUCACCGAUCAGCACAAUCACUUCUGAACUUAUGUUUUACUCUCUAAAUCCAAUAAAAAUAUAGCUCUCACACAUUUUAUUUAAUUUUAAUUUUAUAUUUAAAACCGGUAUAUUACAUCCACGCAACCUCACCAAGAACAUCAAAUAGCUUUCAAAACCAAAUGACACCGUACACUUUAUAAUUUUUAGAAGUCCGGUACCUUACAUCCUUCCCCUGCCUUAAAAGAGUUUUCGUUCGAAACUAUCUCACUUCAAUUCAAUUCAUACCCCAACUCAACUUAUCAAAUAGUCGAGGUUCCAAUGCACUUUGCAUUUCGGAGCUGCCUUUCACUCAUACGGAACUGAUCCAAAGGAUUACUACGAGCUCAUGAUAACCAAAUGCAUCCAAACUUUGCAAGGCAGCACCUCACAAAUACAAUUAUCAGUCUCCGUCUCUCUAUGUGGUAGUGCAAAGUCGAAACCCUUCGGCCGAUACUCUACGCGCGCCAUCAACCACUUGCCCACUUGACAAGCAGACCUCCUUGCAUUUACUUCCCCUUCAGGAAUGCAUUCCAAAUCAAAUCACCGGACAUUUGCCUAAAACCAAUACACGUGCACUCACUUCAUUCAUAAGUGCUUAAUUCUGCAGGCUAGCCUUCAACUUGACGUGACGAUGGCCGAACCUCUUGCGCAUCCAAUUCCAUUCUACGUGCUGGCCAUUAGCUCAAGGCCUUUUGCCCAAAAGCAUCUCCAUUACUAAAUACCAUAUGGCCCGGUCCAACACAAUCAUACCGACUUUCGCACGACUCACACCCAGGCACAUCGCUUCGGAACCAAGUCAAAACUGCCGCCAAUAAGCUACCUCGCCAAAUCACUUUCCUCAUUUUUACCAGUGACCUAAAGGCCUCACCAAUACUCGACUAGGCAUCCAGCUAAAACCAUCUCACAUAUGUCGUAGUCGCCUCUCAGCAAUCCGCAGCGAGACCCUGCAUAUCACAACCGUGGGUGCGAAAUUCCACUUGGAAUUCGCCCGACAUCUCACCAACCAGGAGCAACCAAGAUCCCAAACCGUAUCAAAUUCUGCGGGUGGGUCACAAUCGUACUCUUCAGUAGUACUAUGCAAUCGCAUUACACGCUCUAUGAGCAAUACGUAUCACUUAUCUGCUCUAUGCACCUAUGGCAGCCACUAACCCCACGAGUGAUCCAUGGCCCCUUCACCACUUAGCAUGCGCUGAGUGCUACUACGAACUCACUCUCCCGGCUGAAUCAUAAUCGCACUCUAUCGAAGUACUCCCACACCUCGAAGCCGCUCUAAUAAGACCCUCUAUAGCGUCCCCACAACUGAAAUCGCAGCAUAGCAAUCCCAUCUAUGCACACUGGCCACACCGAUGGCACCUCCCUACCUCCCUUGAGGAGUACUACUAGGCCAAACGUGCUCAACUGCCACUGAUGACCCGUCUCUAAACAGUUGAUCUCUUUCACUGUUCGAUCCUACUCGAAAUGACAUCGAAAUUUUUGACUAACUCGCGUGUUCUCCAUAAUCAUCAUGAGCUCGACUCUCGCAAAUUUUCUACCAUUAUGCUCUGAAGCCUCCGUAUUCGGCCGCUCUAUCUCUACCAGCGAGCUCUCACUCUCGCCACUAGAUUACUUCUAGCACUUCGCUAUGACCGCCAUCUGAUUCUAUAUCCGUACUGGCAGGUACUAGGUCGGCUCCUACAACACAGCAUGCCCGGGAUCUAAUACACCACGUCCAGUCCGGUCCGUUACUAUCUCAUUGCAAACAAUAGUAAUUAACCACAUAACGAUUGCAUGCAAAGCAUCAACGAUUCACAUCAUGCAAAACAAUAUCUUGCAUCAAUAAACUCAUACCUGCAGACUCACACUCGUCCACAGCAGUUCCUCAAAUCUAUGGGUUCGCGUAUCUACGACCAACACCCUCGCCGCGCUCGCCCGCGAACCUUUAGUGCAUGUCCUCAACGCCUCUCUCAUAAGCCACUAGCGCACUGUGGAAGAUGAGGAUAGGCACAUAACAUGUUGCACAUAUUCAAAUAGGCCUUCACUUUCUAUCCAUUGCACUGCCCAAACUGGCAAUUUCGUGCCGAUGGAACCGUCUCCUCCCUGCCCCUGGACGUCCCCGAGACCUUCCCGGCGUCUCGCAGUCCUACGCAUUCGAGGCAACCGAGUAUGCCCACUGAUGGGAACCGGCUCUCCUAGGGACCGUUCUCUCCCCCGAGGGAGCCGUCCCGAGCUUUCCAGCGUGGACUUAGCGAUUUUUCUCUCCUCUUGCUGCCUGCGCGUUCGGACCGGUCUUUCCCGACCUGGACCGUCCCCGAGAGCACAAACCUGCAGUCCUUCGGCACAUUUUGAUCCAAAGCUCCUCGAAAAUCCCAGUAAAUGUCACUUGCAUUAUUUGAGCCUUCGGCCUUUCCGAACGUACCAACCUCCGCACUUUGGUCCACCUUUGACUAAAGUUCGAUACGGUUAAAUCCGAAGUUUCGAUAUAUUCACAUACUACUCGACAACUAGGCCGAUCUCGAACGAAUUCCAACUCUCCGGCUCUCCUGAAAAUUUCACUUCUCUUACAUGCACAAUCACUCGGACCACAGUCCGCCAAGGUCUUCCGCGCUGAGCAUUACCGCUUCACACGCCCGCCACUCACAACGAGAAGUGGCCCAUCACUCACGCGAAGUUCCAAGUCUCCGCUCGUUUCGAUUGCUUAGGUACGCACUACAUGCGCCCAUCCGCACGCCCGAUCGAUUAAGAUCGCUACAGCGGUGGCUAUCGCUUAUCAAGACACACAACUCGUUCGAUCUCGACCUCAGGGUUCGAGCGCCGAAACAACUUCGACACCCGACAUCGAAUCGGCGAAAUGCAUGCAAGGUUCUAUUCUCAAUUACUGCUCGUUUUCAUGUGUGUAGACCCACAUGAACCACCCUGCGUUGAGAAAAACCGCAACCUCGAGUCUACCUCUACCAUCCGUUUUAGAGGUUUACUAACACCGACCCAAUCGAUUCAAUAUUAUCGGCCAUAAUUCACAAGAGUCCUCGGUCUGCUCACGAGCCUGUAUUCCCUAUCGUGCUACUAUCCUAAAGGGUCUCCUAAGGUGCCAUCUAAACCAUUGCCUCAUUCUCUACUUUAAUAGCUCUGAUACCCACUAUACUUCACGCACCCGCAAUCUCCACCGACACCCGCCCCUAUUGGCCGGAGUCGCCGGCCCGCCCCGACAGAAUCUCCGAACGGACAGAGUCUCUCCCCUUUAACUCCUAGGCGCCGCAAUCAAUCACAAGUACAAGCAUUCCACUACACCAAGAACAGUAUUCAAGCAAGAUUCAUAAGACAAGUAAAACCAACAUAACACAUCUUAUGUUAUACAAGCAUUCAUUAAGUCAUCUUUUUACAUCACAUAGCCAUAUUACAUUAAAUAUUUUCUCCCAAAAUACCCAAAUCAAUAUCGCUAAUAUUAAUACAAUGCUUCUCCUCUUUCCCUACUACCCCUAGCUAUCCGAGCCGGGUAACGCUCUAUCUCUGGUCCUACGGGUAGGGCCUAUCUAAUGAGGCUAGCUCCCCGUCCCGCCUUCGCGCCGCGUGCGUCUGCUCUGCGACAGCACGGUGUCGAACAACUUAACACCCCAAAACAACGUGCGGUGAGAACCAACUCCGCAUGGUUCCCAGUGGUACGCGCACCUCAAGGAAAAGCUCGCCCCAAUAGUCUAGAGGAGGCCUGCAACAUGCUUUAGUCCAACAGAUACCAACAGAUACCAUAUAUUCAAUUGAGGUAAAUACAUGUCUGUGGCCCACAACAAUGCAAUUAAAUUCAUGGCAGUCUAAUGGCAACCAUGCCAACUAAACCUAGUAUGUCAAAUCGAUAACUACUUUUAUUCCUGUUAUUCACAGUUCACCACACUUGACUUCUAGAGUUCCUCACUAUCUUAGAUUCUUCAAUUAUAAUUCUGCUCCAUACGGUUUAACGGCUGCUUUCAUAAAGCUAUCCACCCGAACUUCCGGUCUUGAGUCAAUCAUAUCCGGAAUACCGCGAUCAAAGCCAGGCUCAAAGGUGAAGAUGUCUCACAUGCACCUGCGAGGCCCUAAAUCCACUCAAUGGGAUGCAAACUAAACUCAUCCAUGCAUCAAAUAGUAAAGUUUACUAAUCAUGCUAACAAAUCCGAUCCACUGUUCGAAUUAAUAAAUAGUUCAGAGCUUGGCAUUGUUCACCUGCUCUUUUAGCCCCAAUUCUGUAGCGAAGCCUAGGUUCCAAAUAACUUCACCUUUCAAUCCAAAGUGGAGGGAGCCAAUUGCGCACCCAAGCCCGGAACGUCUGCGAUCCAUGUUUCCGACCUCAACCGUUGUCCCUAGUCGCGCGACACUCCGAUCCUCGACGACAAUGUUCCCCCUCCAUGUGGGGAUGGAUGGCAUAAACAUUCACAAAACGCAGACUGUGAGCUAGAUCUAUCCUCUCCACAUCGAGGAUACCUACCAACUACGGCCACACCACAGAUCAAAUCCUCUCCCAAGAUGACGCCUGCUCUACAACUACGAGUCAACGACCAAUCAAAUCCUCUCCAAGUGAGGUAUCUCUACAACUAAAGAGUCCAACACCCAAUCAAAUCCUCUGCCUAAGUAACGAUCCUACAACUAGAGUCAAUGUCUCAAUAACUCACGACAACCUCCUCCAUGUAGGGUACUUACGUUUAACUAAGUUCUUUUACACAAGGCAUUUUCUAAAGAUUCACCAUCCCUACGGUUUCCAAAACCUCUAUGUCACUAUACACUAAAUUAAGCCCACUCGAUGUGUUCUGUUUUCCAAUGCCAAAUUCGCUAAUCGACCAAGAUUCCAACAUGCAUAAUCACAUCCACUAAUGUUCGCACAAUAUGGCAACAUGUAUAAUUCUCUAUCAUAAACUGCAAUAUACUGUCAUCAUGUAAGUUUCAUUAAACAACAAUCCACAAUAUCUUUAACUCACAAUGUGCUCAUCAUAGCACAUAUAUUACUAGCAUACACAUAAUAUAGUCAAUAUACCAUAUAAUCAUGUCAUCCAAAGUAUAUAUUACUAGCAUCUCAUGUCAACUGCCAUACCGCGAGAGAGUUCUGCGAGUCUGUUUUGGCCUCUUUACCAUUUAAUCAUUACAUUUACAACUAGCAUGUUCCUCUACUUUACUUAACAUGCAAAGCCAUUACCGUCAUGCAUUAACUACACAUUUAAAUCACAUCAUAACAUGCAUAUUACUUAGCAUUUGCAUCAUAUUGUCCACCCAAUGCAUACUAUCAUUUUAUUAAACAUGCAUUCAUAUAUGAAUUGUAAUGUUUCUUGACAUAAAGGUGCGAGCUCUACAGUCGUUCGUAAUCAACCCACCUCUCAUUUCCGCAUUCCCAGAUUGCUUGUCACACUUGCAACCGCUCUCCGCGGCACCCGCACCCGAUUUGGCCCGAUCUCUCACCGCGACCACCCCGACACGGCCUCCACAUUCACUAUCCGAAAAUUAAACGUCUCGGUUUGUGCGGUUAUGUGCCCACGCAUGCUUCAAAUCCAUUUCACUGAAAUUUAACAAUAUCGCUCCACUCGCCCUCCGCCUGCGGCCGAAGCCUAAACUGCAUUUUUCUUAAUACACUCUUGUAACGGCUCGUCGAUCGAACUCGCUCAUCGCACAACGCGUUCGUUACUACAAUAAGGUCUUACGAAGGGCAAAUUAGAUACAAACCUUAUAUUUUACAAAACACCCCAUCGGCGCACCUAAAAUGCUAAUUAACAUCUCAAAAUAAUCCGCAAAAUUAAAUGACAACAAUUCUAACAAAGCUCAUUUAGAGGCUAUUAUAACACUUAAAGCUAAAGGAUUAAGCACAUCCCAAAAGCCCUACCUCAAGUGAACGCCCGUGACAAAAAAAAUACUGGGCAGCCUCCAGACGGGCGCACGAAAGCUCGAUCCGUCCGCCUCGAAUUGCGUUCGCCCUACAACCACUCUUCUCGCACCAACCCUUCACCAAUUUUUAGAGAGAGAUUUAGAGAAGAUGAGAAGAUCUCUAGAGAACGCAGAAGGAGGUUUCAUCUCCCCCAUGCACGUGUGUCUGUGGUGGUAAUGUCUGCCGUUGAAAGGAAAGAAGAAGAGAGUCACACUCCUCCUUUAGUCAAACACCACAUAACUAUUCACUCCGGGGGCAGCCUGAAUCUGGAUAACUUGUCGCCGGACUCGCCUGAAUUGUCCGUUGACCAUCAAACCUGACCAUGUCGUUUUUACUUACUUAACAAGCACGAUACACUGUCAAGUUCGCGACCCUCACGUUUGUCACAUGAAACUGUAACCGAACUGCAAUCUUUAUCAGAAUAGCUUUCCGGAUUUAUUUCUCACUCACGGUUCAGAAAAAAUAAGAAACCUUAAAUCUAGCCCCAUAAA
RNAcentral lists this long non-coding RNA (11116 nucleotides) under Ananas comosus (pineapple). Its description in RNAcentral is "long non-coding RNA (ACOM_LNC038998)". The record is from RNAcentral. Lineage: Eukaryota; Viridiplantae; Streptophyta; Magnoliopsida; Poales; Bromeliaceae.